Paralichthys olivaceus (Japanese flounder) is the source of this 1015-nucleotide non-coding RNA. Lineage: Eukaryota; Metazoa; Chordata; Actinopteri; Pleuronectiformes; Paralichthyidae. The record is from RefSeq and is a predicted model, not a curated record.
ACACACACUGGGGAAGAGAGACUUGCCAUGGGACAUUCCAGUCAGACGCUCACUCUUGAAGCAUUUUGUCCAGGGUGGCAGGGACAGGCUGGGCUCUUUGAAGGGUCGCAGGGGGGCUACAGCCAAUCACAGAGGAACACCCUUGACUGUCAUUCACAGGGCCAUAUAGAGAAAGCAACCUUUCAAGCUCACCCUCACCUACAAUGUCUCCAAUAAACCAAAGCUGCCUGACUUUGGUUUGUAGAAGGAGAACCUGGAGAAGUCACACUCAAGUGCUCUGAGGCAACAGUGCAAGCCACUGAACCACGUGCCGUCCCACAAGACUUCACCAAAGAUUUCAAAAACCAGGAGACUGGUCACUUAAAGCCAUUGGGGAGGUUUGGUGAUUAGGACAAACUGACCCUUCAAACUAUGAAUCACUCUUCUUCAUCAUUAUUGAUCUUCCUCACCACUGAGGAGACCGAAGGCCACAUGCUGAUUUUCUGCACUUAUGCAACAAACAGGCAAAAGGAGCCCCACAGACGACAACCUCUGCUCCUUAAAACCUCUCAGUUCAUAAGAAGAAAUCAUGUGAUGCCUGUUCAGUUUAUUGACUCUACUGAUUCCCGCUGCCUCUCCUCCCAUUGUACCAGCUCAUACAGCGGAGAUGACUAGAGAGAGGCUAUUAAAGGUAGUCUGUUAAAACCUAAUGGAGUGUUACUGCAGAUCUGAGGAGGCCCAGCUAAAGAGCGCUGAAUACAUCAAGAAGUUAAGCAGGAGGAUGAGACAGGGGGGAUAUAUAUGACAAGAGACCCCUGUGUAAGUAAUAAGUUUCCAUGAUACCCUGAGGGAGAAGCCUCUGGUGAGAUGUGAAAUCUAUCUGUUUUACCCCACAGCACAUGAAGUGUUCAGUGUGAAAUUGACUGCAGAUUGCUUACUCAAGCUCUCCCUGUAACUCAAGCCCGAUAUGAAGGUAAUUCAAUCAAAGUCACGGAGGCGUGGCCACUUUUCUGCUAAGAGGGAGUUGGAGACAGUU